GAAUAACACAGCGACAAGCCCUGAACAGUUCUCCUCAGCAGCCUACAUUGAUGUGGAAUAUAUCUUAAAAGAGUUGGAAUCGCUGUCUAAUUGCAUGGAUCAACUAUGUAUGCAAACCCAGCUCAGGCAAUGUGAUCUGAUCGCUUGUGUCGGCCACCCUGACAAGCUGGGACACCUGAACGUCCAGGAGGCACCUAAGCAGGCGCCGCAAGCUUCGCAUGGAAACCAUGAAAGAGAGCAGAGCUAGAGACGAAAGCGCAAUGUAAGGAGAUACAGGCAGCACUUUCUGCUUCAUCCCCGCAAUGCUUUUCCAAUCCAGCUAUAAAACUAAGACACUGAUAAUUGAAACUACUAGUAGUCUCAUAAGUACUAUUAUUUUGAAAACACUGUCAUCUGCUGUUCAUUUUAUAAAAAUGUUUGGGUGUUGAAAUUUAGCAUUGCUACUGAGUAAGAAUAGUUAAUUUUCAUACUUUGUUAUGCGUUGGAAUUCUGUAUUCAUUCUUUAGCAAUGACAAUAAACAGUAAAGUUCCAAAGCUUAUUGCUAUAUUUUAGUCAGAGAACAAUGUAGCAAUAGAGAAAUAUUAUUCAUCCAAUCAAUUCACUGUUGCUUAUCCUAGUAAUAUAUUAUUUCUGUAUGGGCUAUAUUUGUACA
Molecule: long non-coding RNA, 653 nt
Organism: Corythoichthys intestinalis (scribbled pipefish)
Lineage: Eukaryota; Metazoa; Chordata; Actinopteri; Syngnathiformes; Syngnathidae
Exons: 3
Source: RefSeq, a predicted model, not a curated record